AAGCUCGUAUUGAAUUUCGAAUGUGGCUGGGCGGUCCGCCUCACGGUGUGUACUGUCUGGCUGUGUUCUCUUUCUUGGUGAGCCGGCAUGCCCUUUACUGGGUGUGUUGGGGAACCAGGACGUUUACCUUGAGAAAAUUAGAGUGUUCAAAGCAGGCCUACGCCCGAAUACAUUAGCAUGGCAUAAUAAAAUAGGACGUGCGGUUCUAUUUUGUUGGUUUCUAGAGCCGCAGUAAUGAUUAAUAGGGAUAGUUGGG
This 256-nucleotide ribosomal RNA is filed under the name uncultured Basidiomycota. Its description in RNAcentral is "partial 18S ribosomal RNA". It matches the Rfam family "Eukaryotic small subunit ribosomal RNA", at positions 624 to 886 of the family's 1831-position model. Lineage: Eukaryota; Fungi; Basidiomycota. The record is from RNAcentral.